Molecule: ribosomal RNA, 425 nt
Filed under: uncultured bacterium
Lineage: Bacteria
Description: bacterial SSU rRNA
Rfam family: Bacterial small subunit ribosomal RNA
Source: RNAcentral
GUGGGGAAUAUUGGACAAUGGGCGCAAGCCUGAUCCAGCAAUUCCGCGUGAGCGAAGAAGGCCUUCGGGUUGUAAAGCUCUUUCGGCGGGGACGAUAAUGACGGUACCCGCAGAAGAAGCCCCGGCUAACUCCGUGCCAGCAGCCGCGGUAAUACGGAGGGGGCUAGCGUUGUUCGGAAUCACUGGGCGUAAAGCGCACGUAGGCGGCUACUCCAGUCAGAGGUGAAAGCCCGGGGCUCAACUCCGGAAUUGCCUUUGAAACUAGGUAGCUUGAACGUCGGAGAGGUAAGUGGAAUUCCGAGUGUAGAGGUGAAAUUCGUAGAUAUUCGGAAGAACACCAGUGGCGAAGGCGACUUACUGGACGACUGUUGACGCUGAGGUGCGAAAGCGUGGGGAGCAAACAGGAUUAGAAACCCUUGUAGUCC